UACGUAGGCAGCGAGCGUUGUUCGGAGUUACUGGGCGUAAAGAGUGCGUAGGCGGUUUUCUAAGUUUGGUGUGAAGUCUCCCGGCUCAACUGGGAGGGUGCGCCGAAGACUGGAAGGCUUGAGUAUGGGAGAGGUAAGCGGAAUUCCUGGUGUAGCGGUGAAAUGCGUAGAUAUCAGGAGGAACACCUGCGGUGUAGACGGCUUACUGGACCAUAACUGACGCUGAGGCACGAAAGCGUGGGUAGCAAACAGG
RNAcentral lists this ribosomal RNA (253 nucleotides) under uncultured bacterium. RNAcentral's name for it is "partial 16S ribosomal RNA". It matches the Rfam family "Bacterial small subunit ribosomal RNA", at positions 524 to 776 of the family's 1533-position model. The record is from RNAcentral.